Molecule: long non-coding RNA, 683 nt
Organism: Drosophila yakuba
Lineage: Eukaryota; Metazoa; Arthropoda; Insecta; Diptera; Drosophilidae
Exons: 2
Source: RefSeq, a predicted model, not a curated record
AUGCAUAUAUACAUAUACACGAAACACACUAAUUGGGAAUGUGGCGCAAACCAAGCGUAACCUGAGCUAUGGAGCGACUGAUUGGCAUUCCGGCGGCAAUGCAACUGCAAACGCCUGGCGAUCGGUAAGACGCUCAUCUAAGGAAUCCACCAACUAACUGCUUAACUUGGUCAAAACACACCCAACUAAGAAAAUCGGACCAAGCGUGCAAAAAAGCGGAAAGAAAGUAAUCCGAGAAAGAAAUUGCAAAUAAAGUGUUAUGGUAUUGUGUGCGGCACGUCGGAAAACGCUUUUCGCGUUCCGAUUUGUGCAGUCAGCGGACCUGCACUUUGCCGGGACAAGGGGUCAAAGUGCACGCUGCGACCAGUCCUCUUCUGACAGCCAAUUGGCUUUCGUAUGGCCUGUGUCAGCCACGUCCUCCCCCGCAAACUUGGACUUGCGGCACACGUGUGGCACACAAACAGGUACACUGACGAAAAUCAGUAAGGCAGUGCUGCAAUCAAUGAUGACGCAUUUUUGCUAUCAAUGUGGCACUAAAUAACUAGGCUAAGCUCCUAAUGUAUUUUAAAUUGAUCUGCUACGUUAAACAAGAAGUAAAUUAAGUAAGCAAAAAUGUGUUUAAUAGGGGAAAAUCGUACUUUUUAGAUACAAAUAUCUAUUAUUAAAAUUCUCUGAUAUCUAAA